Molecule: long non-coding RNA, 1505 nt
Organism: Gallus gallus (chicken)
Lineage: Eukaryota; Metazoa; Chordata; Aves; Galliformes; Phasianidae
Source: Ensembl
GAGAAAACAUACCCAAAGCCAGCUUCCACUGUGCAGACGAGUGGUGUAAGGAAACCUGGGAAGCCAUUCACAAAGAAGGGAUAAAAGGUGUGACACAUGCAGUGGGGUGGCGCUUGUCAGGCCCAGUGCAGCCACCUGUAGUCUGAAGGUCUGUGGCAGAGCUGAUCUCCCUAUGCUCAGCAGAUGAAAAUUGGAACUUCUAGGUGGUUCCUUUGACAAGUGGACAUAAAAUGGGUCAAGUGAGAAAUGAUCCUCCUCCUCCUCCUCUCUUCUUAAAAAGAGAAUAAUUUGCCACUGGAUUGGAAACAAAUGAGUACCACGUUGUCACGGCAGGUCUAUCUGAUUCCCAGAUAUGUUCCUUGCAAUUGCUAAUUCUUUUCAUCAUGAAAAUGGCAGAGGUGAAAUAACAAGUAUUCACAGAGCUCAUUUAACGGAGAAGGAACUGAAAAAUAGUGGUCUGGAUUCAUUCCUCUUCUAUUUAGAAGUUCAGCUUGGUGUGCUUGCAGUAUGUAUGCUACACGAUAUGGAAGUACUUACCCCAAAGAAAUGCGGAAUGUAGAGUCUUUAUCCUGGGAAAGAUCUGGUAGAGGUGUGUACAACUGUCCCUCAGAGAAGCUGAAUUGGAAACAGCUGAUCACAUUCUCUCACUUUUAUCAAGAGUGGAACUCAUCAACUGAAAUAAACUCAUGGUGGAUUCCAAAGAAACAUGAGAGUUGCCUAAUGGUAAGGAAUUAAAUUUCAGAACUCAUUGCCUUGGGAUGCAGGGAUGGCUUCAGAGAGAUUAAGUACAUCUGCAACAUAACGAUUAUUCAAAGGCUGAUUUCAGACUUGGGACUCUGGACAGUUGUGAAUAUUUGGUCUGAAUCAGGAUGACCAUACAUACACUCUUUGUUUUGUUCUUCUGAAUGAGUGCCUGAGCAAUCAUUGAGGGACAUAGGAAGCUUGACUUUCAGCCAGCCAUACCAGUGAUUUCUCUGAAGGUGGCAUGAAGGACUCAAAGCAUUGCCCCACGUCAUUCAAGAGAUCUGUGGUGCAGCAGGGUAACUCAGCUCUACAGCUAGCAACUGAAAACAUCCAUCAUGUCUACUCAGCAUUUUUUUGACUUACACAGCUUUACCCCAGAGCUCAAGCAAUUAUUUGCAGCCUGAAAAAAAGGGCAGCUACAGUCACUCGUAAGAUUUGGUCUCCUGCAUGGCUAUACAGGAGACUUCAGUCAUCUUGUGGGCACAAAUACAGUUUCUGAAUUGUGAGUGUAUAUAUGUAUGUUAUCAUACUCUUUCACUGUGAAAGUAGUAACUACUGUAUGUGGUAAAAUGAUAUAUUGUUGUCCGCAGAAUGUCUUUGGCAACAGGAUGUUCACUAGCCUUGGAAUUUUGCCUUGUAUAAAUAUUUUUAAUCUACUCCAUGUAGGCAUAUUUUGGCUGCAAAAUAAAGGGUUUUGGAGAUUAAUAUAUCCAGGCUCAGUUCUGCUUAUACAUCCUACAUACAUCAAGUUUUUAUUGAAC